Molecule: ribosomal RNA, 491 nt
Filed under: uncultured bacterium
Lineage: Bacteria
Description: partial 16S ribosomal RNA
Rfam family: Bacterial small subunit ribosomal RNA
Source: RNAcentral
GUGAACGCUGGCGGUAGGCCUAACACAUGCAAGUCGAACGGCAGCACCGUAAGAGCUUGCUCUUACGGGUGGCGAGUGGCGGACGGGUGAGGAAUACAUCGGAAUCUACUUUUUCGUGGGGGAUAACGUAGGGAAACUUACGCUAAUACCGCAUACGACCUACGGGUGAAAGCAGGGGAUCUUCGGACCUUGCGCGAUUGAAUGGGCCGAUGUCGGAUUAGCUAGUUGGCGGGGUAAAGGCCCACCAAGGCGACGAUCCGUAGCUGGUCUGAGAGGAUGAUCAGCCACACUGGGACUGAGACACGGUCCAGACUCCUACGGGAGGCAGCAGUGGGGAAUAUUGGACAAUGGGCGCAAGCCUGAUCCAGCCAUACCGCGUGGGUGAAGAAGGCCUUCGGGUUGUAAAGCCCUUUUGUUGGGAAAGAAAAGCAGCAGGUUAAUACCCCGCUGUUCUGACGGUACCCAAAGAAUAAGCACCGGCUAACUUCGUG